RNAcentral lists this ribosomal RNA (310 nucleotides) under uncultured bacterium. RNAcentral describes it as "bacterial SSU rRNA". It matches the Rfam family "Bacterial small subunit ribosomal RNA", at positions 30 to 334 of the family's 1533-position model. The record is from RNAcentral.
AUUGAACGCUGGCGGCAUGCCUUACACACGCAAGUCGAACGGCGGCAUGAUCUAGCUUGCUAGAUUGAUGGCGAGUGGCGAACGGGUGAGUAAUACAUCGGAACGUGCCCUGUAGUGGGGAAUAACUAGUCGAAAGGUUAGCUAAUACCGCAUACGACCUGAGGGUGAAAGUGGGGGACCGCAAGGCCUCAUGCUAUAGGAGCGGCCGAUGUCUGAUUAGCUAGUUGGUGGGGUAAAGGCCCACCAAGGCGACGAUCAGUAGCUGGUCUGAGAGGACGAUCAGCAACACUGGGACUGAGACACGGCCCAG